RNAcentral lists this unclassified non-coding RNA (295 nucleotides) under Inocybe amethystina. RNAcentral describes it as "sequence contains 5.8S rRNA gene". The stretch from base 1 to 53 matches the Rfam family "5.8S ribosomal RNA", at positions 102 to 154 of the family's 154-position model. The record is from RNAcentral. Lineage: Eukaryota; Fungi; Basidiomycota; Agaricomycetes; Agaricales; Inocybaceae.
GAACGCACCUUGCGCUCCUUGGUAUUCCGAGGAGCAUGCCUGUUUGAGUGUCAUUUAACUUCUCAACCACACUUGAUUUGUGUGGCUUUGGAUAUGGGGGUUUCUGCGGGCUUUCUUGUGUGAAAGAAGGUCGGCUCCCCUGAAAUGCAUUAGUGGUAUCUGAGCUACUACUAGAGGUGUGAUAAUUAUCUAUGCCUUUGGUAUGCUGCAUUGAACAGAUUGCACUGCUUCCAACCCAGACCUAUAUUUGAUAAAUUUGACCUCAAAUCAGGUAGGACUACCCGCUGAACUUAAG